This 740-nucleotide ribosomal RNA is filed under the name uncultured bacterium. Its description in RNAcentral is "bacterial SSU rRNA". It matches the Rfam family "Bacterial small subunit ribosomal RNA", at positions 8 to 727 of the family's 1533-position model. The record is from RNAcentral.
AGAGUUUGAUCCUGGCUCAGAAUGAACGCUGGCGGCGUGUUUAAGACAUGCAAGUCGCACGGGAUGAACCGAGUAGUAAUACCUGGUGAUUUUAGUGGCGGACGGGUGAGGAACACGUGAAUUACAUGCCCUUCAGUGGGGAAUAACCGGUCGAAAGGCUGACUAAUACCCCAUGGUAUCCUGCCCUAAGAAGCAAGAUUAAAGGUGGCCGGCAACGGCUGUCGCUGAAGGAUUGGUUCGCGCCCUAUCAGCUUGUUGGCGAGGUAACGGCUCACCAAGGCUACGACGGGUAACUGGUCUGAGAGGACGAUCAGUCACACUGGAACUGAGACACGGUCCAGACACCUACGGGUGGCAGCAGUCGAGAAUAAUUCACAAUGGGGGCAACCCUGAUGGUGCAACGCCGCGUGGAGGAUGACGGUCUUAGGAUUGUAAACUCCUGUCAUCCGGGAGAAAGACCUGACGGUUAAUAGCCGGCAGGGUUGAUAGUACCGGAAGAGGAAGGGACGGCUAACUUCGUGCCAGCAGCCGCGGUAAUACGAAGGUCCCGAGCGUUAUUCGGAAUCACUGGGCGUAAAGGGAGCGUAGCGGCGUAGUAAGUCGGAUGUGAAAUCCCGGGGCUCAACCCCGGAACUGCAUCUGAUACUGCUAUGCUAGAGUAAUGGAGGGGUAGCUGGAAUUCUCGGUGUAGCAGUGAAAUGCGUAGAUAUCGAGAGGAACACUCGUGGCGAAAGCGAGCU